AUGAACGCUGGCGGCGUGCCUAAUACAUGCAAGUCGCGCGAACAGACGAGGAGCUUGCUCCUCUGACGUUAGCGGCGGACGGGUGAGUAACACGUGGAUAACCUACCUAUAAGACUGGGAUAACUUCGGGAAACCGGAGCUAAUACCGGAUAAUAUAUUGAACCGCAUGGUUCAAUAGUGAAAGACGGUUUUGCUGUCACUUAUAGAUGGAUCCGCGCCGCAUUAGCUAGUUGGUAAGGUAACGGCUUACCAAGGCGACGAUGCGUAGCCGACCUGAGAGGGUGAUCGGCCACACUGGAAUUGAGACACGGUCCAGACUCCUACGGGAGGCAGCAGUAGGGAAUCUUCCGCAAUGGGCGAAAGCCUGACGGAGCAACGCCGCGUGAGUGAUGAAGGUCUUCGGAUCGUAAAACUCUGUUAUUAGGGAAGAACAAAUGUGUAAGUAACUAUGCACGUCUUGACGGUACCUAAUCAGAAAGCCACGGCUAACUACGUG
This 496-nucleotide ribosomal RNA is filed under the name uncultured bacterium. Its description in RNAcentral is "partial 16S ribosomal RNA". It matches the Rfam family "Bacterial small subunit ribosomal RNA", at positions 29 to 507 of the family's 1533-position model. The record is from RNAcentral.